GAAGGAUCAUUAACGAGUAACUGAACAGGUUGUAGCUGGCCUUUCGGGGCAUGUGCACGCCUGGCUCAUCCACUCUUCAACCUCUGUGCACCUGUUGUAGGUCGGUCGAAGGGUCACUGUGUGAACGGUGACUUGGAAGCCUUCCUAUGUUUUACUACAAACGCUUCAGUUUAAGAAUGUAAUCUCUGCGUAUAACGCAUUUAUAUACAACUUUCAGCAACGGAUCUCUUGGCUCUCGCAUCGAUGAAGAACGCAGCGAAAUGCGAUAAGUAAUGUGAAUUGCAGAAUUCAGUGAAUCAUCGAAUCUUUGAACGCACCUUGCGCUCCUUGGUAUUCCGAGGAGCAUGCCUGUUUGAGUGUCAUGGUAUUCUCAACCUUCAAAGCUUUGUUGCAGCGAAGGCUUGGAUUUGGAGGUUGUGUCGGCGCAAGUCGACUCCUCUUAAAUGCAUUAGCGUGACUCAUUACGGAUCGCCUUCAGUGUGAUAAUUGUCUACACUGUGGUGUUGAAGUAUAUACACGAGUCUUCAUGCUUACAAUCGUCUCCUAGCGAGACAAACACAUACAUUGACAAUCUGACCUCAAGUCAGGUAGGACUACCCGCUGAACUUAAGCAUAUCAAUAAGCGGAGGA
RNAcentral lists this ribosomal RNA (630 nucleotides) under uncultured fungus. RNAcentral describes it as "eukaryotic LSU rRNA". The stretch from base 209 to 362 matches the Rfam family "5.8S ribosomal RNA". The record is from RNAcentral. Lineage: Eukaryota; Fungi.